Molecule: ribosomal RNA, 492 nt
Filed under: uncultured bacterium
Lineage: Bacteria
Description: partial 16S ribosomal RNA
Rfam family: Bacterial small subunit ribosomal RNA
Source: RNAcentral
AGUGAACGCUGGCGGUAGGCCUAACACAUGCAAGUCGAACGGCAGCACAGUAAGAGCUUGCUCUUACGGUUGGCGAGUGGCGGACGGGUGAGGAAUACAUCGGAAUCUACUUUUUCGUGGAGGAUAACGUAGGGAAACUUACGCUAAUACCGCAUACGACCUACGGGUGAAAUCAGGGGAUCUUCGGACCUUGCGCGAUUGAAUGAGCCGAUGCCGGAUUAGCUAGUUGGCGGGGUAAAGGCCCACCAAGGCGACGAUCCGUAGCUGGUCUGAGAGGAUGAUCAGCCACACUGGAACUGAGACACGGUCCAGACUCCUACGGGAGGCAGCAGUGGGGAAUAUUGGACAAUGGGCGCAAGCCUGAUCCAGCCAUACCGCGUGAGUGAAGAAGGCCUUCGGGUUGUAAAGCCCUUUUGUUGGGAAAGAAAAGCAGCAGGUUAAUACCCCGCUGUUCUGACGGUACCCAAAGAAUAAGCACCGGCUAACUUCGUG